AGUGGCGCACGGGUGAGUAACACGUGGGUAACCUGCCCUCGAGCCUGGGAUACCCCCUCGAAAGGGGGGCUAAUACCGGAUACGCUCCUCGGGUCGCGAGAUCAGAGGAGGAAAGGUGGCGCAAGCUGCCGCUCUUGGAGGGGCUCGCGGCCUAUCAGCUAGUUGGCGAGGUAACGGCUCACCAAGGCGAUGACGGGUAGCUGGUCUGAGAGGACGACCAGCCACACGGGGACUGAGACACGGCCCCGACUCCUACGGGAGGCAGCAGUGGGGAAUUUUCCGCAAUGGGCGAAAGCCUGACGGAGUGACGCCGCGUGGGGGAUGAAGGCCUUCGGGUUGUAAACCCCUGUCAGAGGGAACGAGGGGAGCCGGCGUAAAUAGCGUCGGCUCUUGACGGUACCUUCAGAGGAAGCCCCGGCCAACUCUGUGCCAGCAGCCGCGGUAAGACAGAGGGGGCAAGCGUUGCUCGGAAUCACUGGGCGUAAAGGGCGUGUAGGCGGGAGCGUGAGUCGGUCGUGAAAGCCUUCGGCUCAACCGAAGAAGGGCGGCCGAUACUGCGUUCCUUGAGGGGUGGAGAGGAGACUGGAAUUCCCGGUGUAGCGGUGAAAUGUGUAGAUAUCGGGAGGAACACCGGUGGCGAAGGCGGGUCUCUGGCCACACCCUGACGCUGAGGCGCGAAAGCGUGGGGAGCAAACGGGAUUAGAUACCCCGGUAGUCCACGCGGUAAACGAUGACGACUAGGUGUGGGGGGGGUUCAGUCCCUUCCGUGCCGCAGCUAACGCAUUAAGUCGUCCGCCUGGGGAGUACGGCCGCAAGGUUGAAACUCAAAGGAAUUGACGGGGGCCCGCACAAGCGGUGGAGCAUGUGGUUCAAUUCGAUGCAACGCGAAGAACCUUACCUGGGCUU
This 906-nucleotide ribosomal RNA is filed under the name uncultured bacterium. Its description in RNAcentral is "bacterial SSU rRNA". It matches the Rfam family "Bacterial small subunit ribosomal RNA", at positions 94 to 982 of the family's 1533-position model. The record is from RNAcentral.